UCUUCAUUUCCCAUACUCUCUCGGCCGGUCAGAGAGGCGAGAGAGUGUGUGAAAUGAAGAGA
Pristionchus pacificus is the source of this 62-nucleotide non-coding RNA. Lineage: Eukaryota; Metazoa; Nematoda; Chromadorea; Rhabditida; Neodiplogasteridae. The record is from Rfam.